GUUAAAAAGCUCGUAGUUGGAUUUCGGUUGAGAACGGCCGGUCCGCCGUUUGGUGUGCACUGGCUGGUUUCAACUUCCUGUAGAGGGCGCGCUCUGGCUUCACGGCUGGACGCGGAGUCUACGUGGUUACUUUGAAAAAAUUAGAGUGUUCAAAGCGGGCUUACGCUUGAAUAUUUCAGCAUGGAAUAACACUAUAGGACUCCUGUCCUAUUUCGUUGGUCUCGGGACGGGAGUAAUGAUUAAGAGGAACAGUUGGGGGCAUUCGUAUUUCAUUGUCAGAAGUGAAAUUCUUGGAUUUAUGAAAGACGAACUUCUGCGAAAGCAUUUGCCAAGGAUGUUUUCAUUAAU
RNAcentral lists this ribosomal RNA (348 nucleotides) under uncultured marine eukaryote. Its description in RNAcentral is "SSU rRNA". It matches the Rfam family "Eukaryotic small subunit ribosomal RNA", at positions 618 to 977 of the family's 1831-position model. The record is from RNAcentral.